RNAcentral lists this ribosomal RNA (1036 nucleotides) under Neolyngbya biscaynensis BLCC-M68. RNAcentral's name for it is "bacterial SSU rRNA". It matches the Rfam family "Bacterial small subunit ribosomal RNA", at positions 418 to 1467 of the family's 1533-position model. The record is from RNAcentral. Lineage: Bacteria; Bacillati; Cyanobacteriota; Cyanophyceae; Oscillatoriales; Sirenicapillariaceae.
UUGGGUUGUAAACCCCUUUUCUCAGGGAAGAAGAAAGUGACGGUACCUGAGGAAUCAGCCUCGGCUAACUCCGUGCCAGCAGCCGCGGUAAUACGGAGGAGGCAAGCGUUAUCCGGAAUGAUUGGGCGUAAAGCGUCCGCAGGUGGCUCAUCAAGUCUGCUGUUAAACCCAGUAGCUUAACUACUGACCAGCAGUGGAAACUGAUGAGCUAGAGUGCGGUAGGGGCAGAGGGAAUUCCUGGUGUAGCGGUGAAAUGCGUAGAGAUCAGGAAGAACACCGGUGGCGAAAGCGCUCUGCUGGGCCGCAACUGACACUCAGGGACGAAAGCUAGGGGAGCGAAUGGGAUUAGAUACCCCAGUAGUCCUAGCUGUAAACGAUGGAGACUAGGUGUUGCCUGUAUCGACCCGGGCAGUGCCGUAGCUAACGCGUUAAGUCUCCCGCCUGGGGAGUACGCACGCAAGUGUGAAACUCAAAGGAAUUGACGGGGGCCCGCACAAGCGGUGGAGUAUGUGGUUUAAUUCGAUGCAACGCGAAGAACCUUACCAGGGCUUGACAUGUCCGGAACUCUGGGGAAACUCGGAGGUGCCUUCGGGAGCCGGAACACAGGUGGUGCAUGGCUGUCGUCAGCUCGUGUCGUGAGAUGUUGGGUUAAGUCCCGCAACGAGCGCAACCCUCGUUCUUAGUUGCCAGCAUUAAGUUGGGCACUCUAGGGAGACUGCCGGUGACAAACCGGAGGAAGGUGGGGAUGACGUCAAGUCAUCAUGCCCCUUACGUCCUGGGCGACACACGUACUACAAUGGGGAGGACAAAGGGCAGCCAACUUGCGAAAGUGAGCUAAUCCCAGAAACCUUUCCUCAGUUCAGAUUGCAGGCUGCAACUCGCCUGCAUGAAGGAGGAAUCGCUAGUAAUCGCAGGUCAGCAUACUGCGGUGAAUCCGUUCCCGGGCCUUGUACACACCGCCCGUCACACCAUGGAAGUUAACCAUGCCCGAAGUCAUUACUCUAACCCAAUUGGGAGGGGAAUGCCGAAGGCAGGG